Molecule: long non-coding RNA, 2206 nt
Filed under: Equus caballus (horse)
Lineage: Eukaryota; Metazoa; Chordata; Mammalia; Perissodactyla; Equidae
Description: lncRNA (ENSECAG00000055947.1)
Source: RNAcentral
AAAUACUCAGUACUUCGGCCCGGGUACUCGGCUGUCGGUGCUAGGUAAGCGGGGACGCGGGGCGGGACGCGCGGUGGGUUUUUGCGCGGGGCUCGGGGGCCGUGACCUCAGAGACGCAGUACUUCGGGCCCGGCACGCGGCUCUUCGUGCUGGGUGGUCACUGCAGUGGGAGCGGGAAGCCCAGUGCCAAGGGAGUGGCAGGGUUUGGCUUGUGGACAAUAGAAGGCUGGGUAUGUGUGAGAGAUGGGCUGGGAACAGGAAAGAUGAACUUCACAAUUCUGCCCGAGGCAAGACCAACCCAUAAGCAGAGCAUAUGCAAACAGACGCUCACUAGUACACACGCUUACACCCACAUAUGCAAGCCCCCCACACCCCGCGGGGAUUCCCAGACACAGAGGAUAACUGAUCCCAUCCUCACCAUGGAGCCGUGUAGACAGUGCUUCAGGUCCUGCUUCUGUUUGUCCUGCCCAUCAUAUCAAUAAACAUCAUGGGGAGCCUCAUACAUGGCUCAAAGGACAGCUUUAAUUUUUUACAAUAAGGACUGAGUGUUUGCUGGUGAGGAGGUCAGAGGAGUACAUUCUGUGGUCCAUCUGGAGAGCUGGUAGGAUCCCAGAGGCAGGGUCUUUGAGACAGAGAGAGAAAUAACCAGGCUGAGAGCAGAAAGACUGAUGGAGCCAGCACUGCAGAUAUGAGUUAGGAUAUUAUCACUAUUUGGGGCUGGGUCAGCCAGUAAAGACCUAAGGACAUGGGAGUGAUGAGCAAGGCAGGAGUUGCGGGUGGAGGAGCUGACGUGAGGGGAGGCAGGACCACCUCAAAAUGAAAACCCAGGGGCUCUUGUUAAAAAAAAUACUUAGAAUUUCAAAAAGUUUACAGCAGCUAUUACACCAAGCAUGGGCCCUUCUAAGCAUGGCGUCCUGUGUGAUUGCACAGGUCACAUACCCAUGAAGCUGACCCUGGAAGUUAGGUCACAUCCAUAGGAAUGUGAAGUGUCAGUUAGAAGAGCAUUUUCUCCGUCUUGCAACCUAAACUAGAUUCUCAUGAGAGUGAGAUUUCUUAAUUUUAAUAGAAUUGCUCAGAAACAGCAACAAACAUAAAUGGAAAGCAAAGAACAGGGUGAAAUGAAUGGAGAGCAGGCCCAGAAGAAAUGAGCCAGUCAGAUGAGAGCGCUGCAUGGGCUUUAACGGGAAUGCCUUCACUGAGGCGCCUAAGAUUCCAUAGAGGGGCGGCUUAGACAAAAUAGUAUCCAGACAACUAGUAGCAAGAAGUUGCUCUGAUGAUCUGAGGUACUUAUUUAGGAAGCUUGCUGGUAGGGGAAAGGAUACCAUUUGGAAGCAGAAGAGCAAAGAAGGUUGAAGAAUGCCUGAAUUUGAAGUAAGGGGAGACUGCAAUCGGUCUGAGCUGAGGAAACUCAGCGGGUACCUGAAGGUGGAGGAAUGGCUAGGAUGACCUCGUGAACCACAGAAAAGUCAGAGCACCUCCCAUUCUCAUGAGCACAGAAUAAUACAAUAAGAUGCCCUCACAUGAGCGCACAAAAAGAUGCCAUUUCUGUAUUGGCAUCUGAAGAAAAGUCCCAGCCCCAAAACGACCCUCCUUUUCCCCAAUUUCCCUUUACUACUCAGCCACUCAGAUUCAGAUACAAAUAACCCAGCUGAGGACACGGGCUUUCUGAAUCCUAUGUUGUUUAAUCUCCACACCCACUCUGGAAAGUCAGUGUUAUGAUUCUCCCUUCACAAGCAGAGAUAUUAAGAGAUGGUCCUAAAGUCACAUUGGUGGGCAAAGUCAGUUCUAAGAUUUGGAUCCUGUUAUUCUGAUUCCAAUCCAGUGCUCCAUUUAAAUAACUACUACAUAAUAUGGUGAGAAGUAGACUGGUAAGCUUUCAUUGAUGGAGAAGAAAUCAAACAAUGUCAAUAAAGGGACUUUAUUCAGAAUGUUAGGCAGUGCCAUUCUUAAUGCCAGCUUAGGAAGAUGGAGAGACAGUGGACACUGCCUAACCAUAGGGUAAAUACAGAGGACAGCCAGGCAGAGGGAGAAUAAUCACAGAGGAUGGGGCAGUAACACUCAAAAAAAAAGGACGUACUACUACAUAAUUUUGCUUCAUCAUGACCCCUUUCCCGGCCCCUCUCUCCCUCACACACACUUGCAGAGCCCCUACCAAACCCAGACAGCUCUCAGGGCAGUCCUGGCCCCAACUCUUCUUCCCUUCCAG